This is a long non-coding RNA of Triticum urartu, 2076 nucleotides long. RefSeq lists it as uncharacterized. NCBI's taxonomy places the organism in Eukaryota, Viridiplantae, Streptophyta, Magnoliopsida, Poales, Poaceae. The record is from RefSeq and is a predicted model, not a curated record.
AGACGCGCGGGCCCUCCACCCAAAGUCAGCGACAACCUCCCCUCCAAAAAGAAAAAAAACCUAGGUCACAGCCGCCCCCAAAUCUACAUCCCGAUCCACCCGUGCCCUCCACCAUCCCGCCGCCGCCGCCGCCGCCCCCAACCAUCCCACCGCCGCUGUCGCACCCGCCAUCCCGUCACCGCGGAUAGCCCUCCACCCCGACCACUGCCGCCGUCGCCCCUAACUACCCAACAACAGCGCUGGCAGCACCCCACUAACCCGGACCACCACUGUCGCCGAGCCACUCAACCGGCGACUACCCUCCUCGAAUGCCUUCCCUCGCCACCACUCUACUUCGCGAGAUUCCUCCCCCGAGCAGGCUUCCUCCCUAAGACGACGGAGCCAGUAGUUCUUCGGAUGAGAUGGGUGAGUGCAAUGGUGUUGGUGUGUUCUUCGGAUGAGAUUGUGUCUGCAAUGUUGUUGGUGUGUUCUUCGGAUGAGAGAAGAACAGGUAGGUAAUUCGAAUCCGUGGUCUGUUGAUUACUCUUAUGUAAUAUUUGUAUUUUCUCUAGGUGCUGAUUUAAUCCUUCUGAACCCCAAUGAGGCUGAUAGCCUAAAUAAAUCUUUGCUCCAGGUAACUUCUACAAGUUUUGUAUUUAGUCUUCUAUUGCAUCAGGGGCAAACAAGCGCUCUCUUGUCUGAGUUUUACUUUCCUAUAUUGUAGAGUGCAUGAUUGUAGGACUACACAGUUUACAGAAUUUCUCUCAAAACAAAUAAAUAGAAGGAUUACAUGGAUGCAUAUUAGGUGAAUUGUACUAUAGGCUGUGCACUUGCCUUUUUCCUUCACAUCAAAAGUUCAAAACUGAUUUCUUGUAGGCUGUGCACUUGCCUUAUUGUUGGAAACAGAAAUGGAGCUCUGUCCUGCUAUUUUCUCUGUACUCUACCCUCAUGGUUCGUAGGGUAACAAGCACAAUAUUUAAAUGAAAUGUUGUUUACUGUCGGUGGCUUAUUUGUAUGCCUAACAAAUGUGGAUGGGCUUCUAGCCUAGUGGUCAGCGAACGGCUGUGUAAGCUGGCCGACGCAGGUUGGAGCCUCGGCUCGUACUCUGCUGUCUCACAUUCUCCUCUUAAUUAAAAAAUCAGUAGGGCUUCUUCCCCUACUGGUCUAGUUUUUUUAUGCCUAACAAAUUGGGUGCAAUGCUCAUUUGGUAAAAAUUUCUUACACUGUUGGUGGCUUGUUCAUGUGCUAGUCUGGCAUUGGUGAACUGUACUGUAGGUUGUGCACUUGCCUAUAGGUUGUGCACUUGGCUAGCUGGUUAGCCAUGUAAUUCUGCACCCUCUUUUGUUUGUAGGGUGUAUUUGAGAUCCCAUUUAUCUGCUCAUGUCUUAUUUUCAGUUCCAAAAUUUAGCAGUGCAAGUUACUGAUUGAUGUAUGGUUUCAAUGCUUGGUCGUGGUUACACAUGUAGUAAUGUAUAUUUGUUGGUAAGAACAAUGUGUGAUAGUAUGUUUUGUCAUGACUCAUGAGUGUGUCGAAAAAUCUAGACUUUGCCAUGACUUGAUAUUGCAGAGAUGUAUGUCGGAAGUACAAAUUGGUCCAAUGCUUACUAUCACUCUCACGUAUCUUUUAGUUGUUUCUACAGAAAGCUUUACGAAGUGAAUUCAUUACUACUUGAAGUCUUGUGUAUGGAAGGGAAAUUGGACAUUCUGCUCACUGUGUACUAAUCAAAAUUAGGAAGUAGACAAGUCCGCGGCAAAAGCAGGAAUUCGACCACAAGCAUGCUGAGUAGGUUUCGCAAAGGUACACAAGUUGAUGGAGGUUUGGAAGAUCUUCAAGCUGUUGAAGAUUUGGAAGACCUACAAUGAAGUUGGUGGAGUGAUAAUGCCAUAUGUCUUAUUUGUUGAAUCUGGAGAUUGCUCUGCUCAUUUCGGUUGUGGCACAUCUAGAAAUUUAUGUACUCAUUUUGUGGUACUACUUCAUUUUUGUAGUCUGGCACAUCUAGAAACAUAUAUGUACUUCUCCUUUUGUGGAAAAACCUUGUGUUUAUUGAAUAUAUUUUAAGGUUCUGAUGAGGCCUAUAUGUUACUUUGAUUGAUGAA